Molecule: ribosomal RNA, 439 nt
Filed under: uncultured bacterium
Lineage: Bacteria
Description: partial 16S ribosomal RNA
Rfam family: Bacterial small subunit ribosomal RNA
Source: RNAcentral
CUACGGGAGGCAGCAGUGGGGAAUAUUGCACAAUGGACGAAAGUCUGAUGCAGCAACGCCGCGUGGAGGAUGACACAUUUCGGUGCGUAAACUCCUUUUAUAUGAGAAGAUAAUGACGGUAUCAUAUGAAUAAGCACCGGCUAACUCCGUGCCAGCAGCCGCGGUAAUACGGGGGGUGCAAGCGUUACUCGGAAUCACUGGGCGUAAAGAGCAUGUAGGCGGGUAAAUAAGUUGGAAGUGAAAUCCUAUAGCUUAACUAUAGAACUGCUUCCAAAACUGUUCACCUAGAGUAUGGGAGAGGUAGAUGGAAUUUCUGGUGUAGGUGUAAAAUCCGUAGAGAUCAGAAGGAAUACCGAUUGCGAAGGCGAUCUACUGGAACAGUACUGACGCUCAGAUGCGAAAGCGUUGGGAGCAAACAGGAUUAGAUACCCCGGUAGUC